This 245-nucleotide ribosomal RNA is filed under the name uncultured Bacillota bacterium. RNAcentral describes it as "uncultured Firmicutes bacterium partial 16S ribosomal RNA". It matches the Rfam family "Bacterial small subunit ribosomal RNA", at positions 796 to 1041 of the family's 1533-position model. Lineage: Bacteria; Bacillati; Bacillota. The record is from RNAcentral.
CACGCCGUAAACGAUGGAUACUAGGUGUAGGGGGUAUAGAACCCUUCUGUGCCGGAGCAAACGCAAUAAGUAUCCCGCCUGGGGAGUACGGCCGCAAGGUUGAAACUCAAAGGAAUUGACGGGGGCCCGCACAAGCAGCGGAGCAUGUGGUUUAAUUCGAAGCAACGCGAAGAACCUUACCAGGGCUUGACAUCCCUUGACAGACAUGGAAACAUGUUUUCUCUUCGGAGCAAGGAGACAGGUGG